This 274-nucleotide ribosomal RNA is filed under the name uncultured bacterium. Its description in RNAcentral is "partial 16S ribosomal RNA". It matches the Rfam family "Bacterial small subunit ribosomal RNA", at positions 523 to 796 of the family's 1533-position model. The record is from RNAcentral.
AUACGGAGGGUCCAAGCGUUAUCCGGAUUCAUUGGGUUUAAAGGGUCCGCAGGCGGGAAGAUAAGUCAGUGGUGAAAGCCUACAGCUCAACUGUAGAACUGCCAUUGAUACUGUUUUUCUUGAGUAUAGAUGAAGUGGGCGGAAUAUAUCAUGUAGCGGUGAAAUGCAUAGAUAUGAUAUAGAACACCGAUUGCGAAGGCAGCUCACUAAACUAUUACUGACGCUCAGGGACGAAAGCGUGGGGAGCGAACAGGAUUAGAAACCCUAGUAGUCC